AUUUGACAAACUUGCUGAGUUUGGAUCUUUACUCGAACAACAUUACUGGUCAAAUUCCAGAAGAAUUAGCCAAUCUUAAAAAACUAGAAUCCCUGCGCCUCAACAAAAAUAGCUUGUCAGGAAAGAUUCCUAUGGGUUUGACCACCAUUGAUACACUGAUAGUUCUUGACUUAUCGUCCAACAACUUAACAGGGAAUUUCCCAGCCAAUGGUUCAUUUUCAAGUUUUACUCCCAUCAGUUUUAGCGAUAAUCGUUUCUUGGUGCAAGCCAUUCCGAUUUCACCACCCCCUACACAGAAACAAAAUCCUUCAGGUCAAAAUAAUGAAAGAUUGAGGCAUCCAAAUGUUGUUCUCUUCAUGGGAGCAGUAACUCAGACCUCCAAAUCUUUCAAUUGUUACUGAAUUUCUUCCCAGUGAUGCAAAUGAGCCUGAGUCUUCUAUGGGUACAAGAGGAUCAUCUGGUGGUAGCAACAUUUAGGGUGUUGAUGAUGUUUUUUAGGAUGAAACUAUUUUAGUGUAUUAUGAACUUUGAGUAAGUAUGGAUUAAGUUGUAAUUGUUUCAAUUUAAAUUGCUUUUAUGUUAAUAUGUUGAUUUUGAGAAUCAAAAGUUCUAAUGAUAUAUAUUUGAG
Unclassified non-coding RNA from Vigna unguiculata (cowpea), 628 nucleotides. Lineage: Eukaryota; Viridiplantae; Streptophyta; Magnoliopsida; Fabales; Fabaceae. The record is from RefSeq and is a predicted model, not a curated record.